UAUGGAAAUUUGUGUUGCAUU
This 21-nucleotide non-coding RNA is filed under the name Caenorhabditis elegans. Lineage: Eukaryota; Metazoa; Nematoda; Chromadorea; Rhabditida; Rhabditidae. The record is from RNAcentral.